RNAcentral lists this long non-coding RNA (7925 nucleotides) under Nicotiana tabacum (common tobacco). RNAcentral describes it as "long non-coding RNA (NTAB_LNC018045)". Lineage: Eukaryota; Viridiplantae; Streptophyta; Magnoliopsida; Solanales; Solanaceae. The record is from RNAcentral.
CUGUUUUUCAUUUAUUUAUAAGGUAUACUACUUUAUUUUUAAAAAAUAGUACCAAGAAUGUACCAAAGAGUUUACAAGGGAUCCAGACUUAAACAGCAGCUAUACAGACUCCAGCAGGUCCAUGAAACCAGAAAUGCUAAUGACAGAAUCCUCUAAGCCGACAAAACAUAUUCUAAAAUCAUCUAAACUUUAACAAAGCAUUCAACUCUUCUGUUGCUUCAAAGCAUCUUUUGUUCCUUUUGAGCCACACAGUCCAGAUAAUGCAUAAUGGUAUUAAUUUCCAUAUCUUCUUCAGUCUGCUCUUCAUACUUUGUCCUCGCCAACAAAUAAGUACAUCUAUGAAGCUUUGCUGCAUCACCUAUUUAACACCAAUAAUAUCCAGAAACAUGGUCCAUAUCAACCAUGUAUGAUUACAAUGCAGCAGAAAAAUGUUGUUUAAUCUUACAUAAGACCAGCUUUUCCUUGAGACAAACUAGGUAUUUGUACACAAAAUAGACGGGUAUUGAAAGGGCAUGAGAAGCAUUGAAAAACUACCAGGCAAAUAUUGGAAGCACAACGAAUACAAACAAGUUCUUUGCCAGAAAUUCAAAUACGAGGAAACCUCAAAGAAUGAACACACUGAACACCUAGAAUAGGUCGCUCAAAAGCUAACACAAAACUUCAUUUUUCGUAGCAGCUUUCUAUGACAGAUUCUCCAUUAUACGUUUGCCUCGACACCUGCCUCCAAUUCUGCUUAAUGAUGCUAUUGCAAGCGACUCUGUCAUCGCAAGCGCUUGCGUUCUUAUGUAUAAAGCUGAUCAUUCUCUUUCAUAGCACAGGAGUUUAGACACUUAAUCAGAAUCAAGACUAUACAAGCAGUCAAUGUCAUAAACAUAAGAGAUGGUGCAAUAAUUAAGGAUUCCAUGACGCAACUAAGAUCUGAGACUUACUAAGUAAGACACAUGCAUACAUUUCGUUUGCAUUCAUUAGAUGGUUACCUUUAGGACCUGAAAACCACAACACUACAGUUCAUCUAUAAGUGAAAUUUGGUUGGAGAGAUCUCUUCACACUUCAACCAGCUUCGAUUGUUAUCCAUCCUGCCACUAGGAAUCCUUCAGCUUCUAGAGUAAAGGUCACCUAACUUGAAAAUGUGCAGAGUGGUAUUGCCUAGGAAAUCCACAUUCCUAUAGGAAUUGGAGAAGACUCAGAAAUAAUGAGAGCAAUAUUUGAAAAGAAAGCAGGGAUUGGCAAAUAUGUUAAGGUACUUCCAAUUAGGAGAUUCCUGUCAUGCUCAAACCUUAAUUACUUGCUGCAUUGGAAAUUGUCAGACAACUAAACAAGUUGUUUUGACCUUGAUGACAUUCAUCUCCUUUCCAUUUUAUCCUUCCGAACAAUGCAUUUUCUAAUUUGGAAAAGCAAAAGCAAAGAUUAAUCAUGUACAUGCUCAAGCUACAGUAUCAGGCAUCACAGAGAAAAUCUUUCAUUGAAUACGGUAAAAAUUUUGACAUUUCCUUACCAGAAUUACCAGCUAUACAACUUCAAAUAUUCUCUGCCUUAAAGACUGAAACAACUCAUACACGUACAUAAAUUCUCUCAGGAGGCGCAUUUAAAGCAGUUUGUGUGGUGGCUAUGUGUGCAUGAAACUAACCAUGCUAUUCUAGAAGUCCUCUCUACUCCAGCAUGUGCUUUUACAGCUCUGUGUGCUUGUAAACGAAGAAAUUCUAGAUUACAUGUUUCAGGUUGGAUCAGGGGGGAAAGGUGUUGCAGGUAGGUGGACAAUGCCAGGUUUAUGUCUGGCUCCUUCAGACAUUGGGAUUGCUCUACAAAGUUUACCAGAAAAUGGAAGCUCCAGACUCUCAUUUCAUUAUGAGUCAAGAAACAAAAGUUCAGUAAACUUCUCCUCCAGGAGAUAGAUCCCUCCUUGUACUUACAUGCUACUUAGUUUGGUUCUCUAAAAGAUUGUUACCAUAUUACAACUCACAUCAUACAUCAGGACAGGGCAUGGUCCAUCUUUAUUAACCUGGACAAUGAAAGAGCUCCAUAGCUUGUUUUGGGUGGAUAGAUGUAAAUGGUGUCUGUUUAACUCAAGAUAAUUUGAUGAAGAGAGGUUUUUCAAUUCAGUAAUAGAUGUUACCUAUGCCAAAGAAACAUGAACCUUGCAAAUUGACUAGCAUCAGAUUAAGUUAAUUUAGGAUAAACAAUCAAGAAAAGGAGAAAGAAGUAAGAUGGACUGGAAAAGAAACUGGCUAGAAAUCAAAUUGCUUUGGACAUCAAGUUAUAUGUUGGAGCAUAAACAAAAACCUAGAGUUUAAUUUAAAAGAAAUAGAAAAUAAGCCAACAUCAGGCUGCUUACACUAUGCUACAUGAUCCACAAUAAGUUUAGAGACCUAAAGUGGAGGCCAAGCAUGUUGCAUCAACAUCAGGGGUGAACCAAAUAGGAGCUGGUAGAAUCCUCUGUAUCUUGUCUACAUCGACAGGGUAGUAACAGGAUAAAAAGCUUCCUUCUUUACAGUCAUAAAUCCCCAAAUCAUGACCUCCACAAUUAGGCUCCUCCCUAAAUAUGUAAGCAUAGGUUAGAUCAUCUGUAAAGUAAAUAGAAUUGGGCCUCAAUUCCGGGAACAUGGUGGUCGAGAGAGCAAAGCCGGGAUUGGAACCAAUGAAGAAUGCACGAUUGCCAAGGCUGCUUGGCAAGUAUUGAAGCUCCACAUGAUCAUGGUCUAUAAAAUCAAGCUUGAAAACAUCAAAAGUUUGAGUCUUGUAGGGAUAUUCGCGCUCAGCGUUGUCCACAGGCAAUAUCAGAGUCCCAUCUUGGGCAAUGCCAUGUGCUAUGUAGCGUGUAACAAUAAAAAGCUCCUGGGUUUGGUGGUCAUAUACCAAGUAAUCAGUGUCCCAACAGUAGCAUGACUUGCACUCUAGCUCAGUAUCAUCCGCAGCAGAACAGGGCCAAUCAUCACUGCAGCCUAUAUCUUCAAUCUGAAUGAGAAACCUCUUAGUUGGAUCAUUGUGGAGAUCCCAAGCUUCAAGCUCCUUAUCUUGGGUGAGAGCAAAAAAUAGUUUCUUUCCACUGUGGAACACAAUUUGAGUGUACUCAUGUAAGGGACCGUCGAGUGCAGUCCACGAAUUGGCUUCAGCUAUGCCAGGCCUCCUGCAAAAUGCGAGUCGCUGGUGGGGCCCGUAAAUGACCAACGCUAUGCAGUCCUCAUCCAUAGGAUCAGGGGAUGAAAGGAUCAUCUUUUCGACAAUGUAUGAAGACAUACGUUGCGGGGUUAAGGGAAUAGAUUGGUGGUUAAGAAAGCAUUCGACUCUGACACUGUUCCGAAUAACGCCGUUAACACAGGGGAAACUUUCAAUGGAUGGAAGCUGGAUAGUCUUACCAGAAAGUGGGUUAAACAUGAAGAGAAGACAAUCUUUAGGCUGUAUACAAACAAGCCAUCCCUUGGAUAAUGAACCCAAGCAAACGGAAUCAAUAUCAGGCAUCAUCACUUGCUGCUCAUGUUGUACUUGUAUGACAUCCCCUUCUGCCGGUCUGUAGAAUUUGAAGACGGUGCUGUCCUCUUUAAACUCCGGCAGUAGCAUCAACCAAGGAGCCACACAUCUGCUCACCACAGGACCACUACAACUAUUAUGGUCGGCAUCAAUCAGUUCACUAAUUUGCCCUCUCAUUAUUUCCUUUGGAACAGAAGUUCUGACCACCAAGGAAGAGCUAGCCAUGAUUGAAUUCUUUGAGCAAGACACAAGAACCUCCCAAACGUAUUUAUAGAUCAAGAAUCUAAGGUCUACUGGUUUGCUUUUAAAUACAGUAAUCCAAAGUUUGCUAGGUUUCGGCUUGCUUUUCUGUUCUGCUAGGUUUCGGCUUGUUUCUACUUUCUGGAAGAUUAAGCUCAAGCACUUCUGUUCUGUCGGCUCUCACUUUUACGGAAAAAUGUGUUUAAGGGCCGGGCCGGAUUGACCAUAAAAGAAUUCCAUUUUUGUUUUCGAAAAUUUACUUUUUGUGGUUUCACUUCAAGUUGAAUUUUAGAAUUUUUCAGAAAUUUGAAAAUUUUCAAAAAAUUAUUUUUUAAAAUCUUCACUUUAAAUCACUUAGUAUACGUUUGGACAUAAAAAUUAUAAUUUUUUAGAAAAAAUAGUAUUUAAAGAUAAGUUAAAAAAAUAUUUAGAAUUUGAAAUUAUGUUUGGACAUACAUUUAACUUGAAAAAAUAUUGCAAUUUUAUGAGUGGGGAAAUAUUUUUUGAAAAUUUGGAAAAAGGCUUUUUGAAAAACUCUUGCAAAAUUUCAUGAAUAAACAUAUUUUUGAAAAAAAAAAGAAAAAAAAGAAAAAAAAAUAUUAUGAAAAAACGGGUACUUAAAAUAAUUUAAAAAUAUAUUCAAAUUAUAUUCGUGUCCAAAUACUACUAUAUUUUUUAAAUAUCGUUUUCGCUUGAAAAUUUUUUUGUUUAAUUAUUUUCCGAAUUUUCACAAUUCUUAUAUCCAAACGACGAAAGGCCGGUAAAUCAAGGGUGUUCGGGGGCCAAAUUAAAAAUAAGAAAAUGUUGGAGUAAAACUUAAAAAACUAAAAAAUAAGUAAACCCAUCACCCAAAAUAGUUCCCCACCUAUCCCAUUCUCUAUUUUCUCUUUCUUCACUUUUCAGAAUCUUUCUCCCCCUUUCCCUCAAACUCAACCUCCAAAAUCAGUUAUUUCACGAUUUGGGGCUCCAAAAAUCGGCUCUAUUUCUACUCAAUUUCGUUCAAACUUUCUAAAUUCCAUCAUCAAGGUAAUUUUUUUUAUUUUUCUACCCCAUUGAUGAGCCCUAAACUUGUUAUUUCGACUUCUAUAGAUUCUUUUAUUUUUCUUGGUAUUUUUGUAUCUUCGUGUCGUUGUGUAGUUUUCGUGCCUAAAUUUUAGAGUUGUCGUGUAGUUGAUAUUUUUGACCGAAGAUUUGGUACUUUUAUGUUGUUGAUGUGGUUGUUCCACAGACCUAGAAAUUUAGUUGUUGUGAUAUUAAAAUGACUAUAUUGCUCUAUUUUUGGGUCUGUGGAACGAUUUUUUGCCAAUUUGUUUCAAACAUCUCGUUUGAAUGUUUGAAACAUCUUAAGAGAUAGUUAAAUAUUUAUGUUGUUAUUGUUAUUGUUAUAUGUUGUGCAAUUAUUGUAAUAUUUUUCUGAGUUUGGUUAGUGGCAUUUUGCGCUGAUAUUUCAAACAUCUCAUUAGAGUAUUUGAAACAUCUUAAAUAUGGUUGAAAUAUCCUUCUUGUAAACAACUCAUUGAUUGUAAAAUAUCUUCAGAGAUGUUUCAAACAUCUCAUUAGAUGUUUGAAGCUGCAUAUAAGAUGUUUGAAACAACUGUAAAGAUGUUUAACAAUCCAAAAGACGUUUCACCAAAGAAUACCUGAUUAUUUAUAGCGUUAAUUUUUUAUAUGUUAGGAGUAAAUUAUUUGUUUACUUGUUGAUGGUUGUUACUUGUUUGAGUGUGUAGAUAAAAUGACAAAGGAACGUGUGUCAAAGAGAGGAGAAAUGGCUAAAAGGAAGAAGUGGCUCUCCUUCUAAAAGACCUAGCAAAAAAAUUAGGACAUCAUAGGAAAAUGAGAUACAACAAUCAAUUCUCAUUGUAGCUGAAGUGGAAGUUACACCUCUUCAGGCGGUAGUAGUAAUAGGAGGAGGAUAGAAUAAUCAGGUAGGAGGAGACACUGCUACUGAAGUAGUAAAGGAGAGAAUGCUGGAGAAGAGGAAAAAGAGAAAGAAAAAGAUAAUGAAAAAGAAAAAGAAGAGGAAAGAAGAGGAUAAGGAGAGAGAAAAAGAAGAGGAUAAGGAGAGAGAAAAAGAAGGAGAGAGAAAAAGAAGAGGAUAAGGAGAGAGAAAAAGAAGAGGAUAAGGAGAAAAGAAAAUAGAGAAUGAAAUAGAAGAGGAGACAGAAGUUGAUGAUGAAAAAUCAAAAGAGGAGACAACAGCCGUUGAAGGAUAAGAAAGACAAGGGGAGACAAAUGUUGAUGAUGAAAAUCAUAAGAGGAAAUAGUAACUGUUGAAGGAGAAGAAAUAGAAGAGGAGACCUCCGGAGAUGAAUAUUUUAUGUUGAAACUAAGAGAAGAAGAAGCUUCAAGAGAAGAAGAAAAAGAGGCAGAGACAAAAAGAAGAAAAAAGAAAAAGAAUGACAAUGCACCUUCUCAAUCUGUUAAGGUAAGCUCAAUAUGUUAAAACAUCUCUCUGGAUAUUUGAAAUAUCUCUCUGGAUGUUUGAAAUUCUCCCUGGAAGUUUAAAACAUCUAGUUGGAUGUUUAAAUUAUCUAUGUGGAUAUUUGAAACAUUUCAUAGGAUGUUUCACUAAAAAAAGUUGGAAAGAGAUUUUAAUAAUUAUUAAAUUCAUUAUUCUUGUGCCUAUUAUUAAUCAACAUUUUUAAAUCAUGUAAAGAUUGAGAUGCCUAAAGAUGAGUUUGAUAGUUGCGAGGUUGAAAUCUUAAGGCUUUGGCCGGAACUUCCACCGUUCAAGUUCAAGAUAUUUUUGGAUGAUAAUGAGACCUUCAAUAAGAAGAUCAUAGUAAGAUUCUCAUUAGGAUUAGCAGGUAUGGGUAAGUUCAGAAAGUUGUAGCAGGAUGAGGGCCUCGAAAAUAAGUUUAGGACUAGACCUUUCAAGAACUUUUAGAUUUGUCUCAGGAGACACUAUUUAAGGCAUCUAUAUUGCAGUAGAGUAUUGUGGGAGAAGACCCAAGAUUUAUGGGUUAAUUACAAAAGAUUACCAGUCCGCUUCGACCAUUGUGAGUUUGCCAUAACGACUGAACUCAACUGUAGACAUUCUUAUACUAAUUUGAAGAUAAAAGUACUUUCUUGAUGGUGGAAAUUUAUGAAAACUUAUACCAAAGGAAAGAUAUCUUUGACUGAUAAACUAGUGUUUGACUUAAUCAAAUCCAAAUCCAAAAAAAAUUAAAAACAUAAAUAUGAACUAUGCUUGAUUUGGUUAGUUCACUGCAUUUUGUUGGCAAAGGAUAUGAACUGUGGUGUGUCUGAAGAUACAGUCAGACUGGCCUCGACAAAAGAGGCUUUCUACAUUUAUCCAUGGAGCUAAAAUAUUUUUCAUUUGACUUUUUAUUAUAUUAUGAAAGAUAAGAAAGAGCGUCAAUAAUCAAAGAGUGACUCUUAUUAACCUCUAUGGAUUUUCUUAGACUUUCAUGGUAACUAGAUAAAUCUUGUUUAUUAUUUUUACUUUUAUGUUAUUUAUAUAACCUUCUAUUUACUGUUUGAUCACACAAUGUAGGCUUUGGGCGUUUGAAGCCUUACCUCAAUUACGGCCAAAAGAUUAUCCAAAAGAGAGAACCUUGCCGAGGAUGAAGAGGUGGUUAUUUGAAAAAGUAGAAAAUGACAGGCCCGAUCAAGUUCAGAUCAAAGAUGAUCCGGUACGGCUCAUUCUGGUGGAUGUUUCAAAGAUGAUUGAAACAUCUUUCAAACAUCAUGUAAAUGCUUGAAACAUUUUAUAGAAAGUGUUUUAAACAUCUAUAGGAUGUUUCAAGCAUGCCUUUAAUAUCUAUGCUUAUAAAUCUUUUUGUUCCCUUCCCAAGUGGUGCGCCCUUUUCUUUACCCUACAGAGGCUAAAAAGAGGGAGGCUUACAUCUAAAAUUUUAUUAUUUUACUAGAUAAAGAGACAUGAUAAUAGAUAGCCUAAAUAAAGGGUUGGAUGUAGUGACAGUCUUAAGACAUUGGUGUCCUUAAAAUAGAGAAAGGUAGUUUGCAAACCCCACAAAUUAGAGAUAGCCAUGUGGUUAAAGGAGAUGAUGAUACAAGAGAAAUAUUUGUUGGCGGAGAUGGUAGAAUAAGAGGAGAAGCUAUUUGUGAUGAUGAUGGUGAUGGUACAACAGAAAUAUAACCAAGAAAGAUGUAAGAUGGACUGGAAAAGAAACUGGCUAUAAAUCAAAUUGCUUCGGACAUCAAGUUAGAUGUUGGAGCUACAUAAUCAGAAACCUAGAGUUUAAUUUAAAAGAAAU